RNAcentral lists this ribosomal RNA (450 nucleotides) under uncultured bacterium. Its description in RNAcentral is "partial 16S ribosomal RNA". It matches the Rfam family "Bacterial small subunit ribosomal RNA", at positions 354 to 796 of the family's 1533-position model. The record is from RNAcentral.
GUGGGGAAUUUUGGACAAUGGGCGCAAGCCUGAUCCAGCCAUGCCGCGUGCAGGAUGAAGGCCUUCGGGUUGUAAACUGCUUUUGUACGGAACGAAAAGACUCUGGUUAAUACCUGGGGUCCAUGACGGUACCGUAAGAAUAAGCACCGGCUAACUACGUGCCAGCAGCCGCGGUAAUACGUAGGGUGCGAGCGUUAAUCGGAAUUACUGGGCGUAAAGCGUGCGCAGGCGGUUAUAUAAGACAGAUGUGAAAUCCCCGGGCUCAACCUGGGAACUGCAUUUGUGACUGUAUAGCUAGAGUACGGCAGAGGGGGAUGGAAUUCCGCGUGUAGCAGUGAAAUGCGUAGAUAUGCGGAGGAACACCGAUGGCGAAGGCAAUCCCCUGGGCCUGUACUGACGCUCAUGCACGAAAGCGUGGGGAGCAAACAGGAUUAGAAACCCCGGUAGUCC